Molecule: ribosomal RNA, 292 nt
Filed under: uncultured bacterium
Lineage: Bacteria
Description: partial 16S ribosomal RNA
Source: RNAcentral
GGACUACAAGGGUAUCUAAUCCCGUUCGCUCCCCCAGCUUUCGCGUCUCAGCGUCAGGGGCAGGCCAGAAAGCCGCCUUCGCCACUGGCAUUCCUCCCGAUAUCUACGCAUUUCACCGCUACACCGGGAAUUCUACUUUCCUCUCCUGCCCUCGAGCCCGGCAGUCUCCCGCGACCUCCUACAGUUAAGCCGUAGGCUUUCACACGGGGCUUACCAGGCCGCCUGCACGCGCUUUACGCCCAGUGAUUCCGGACAACGCUCGCCCCCUACGUCUUACCGCGGCUGCUGGCAC